UACGUAGGGUGCGAGCGUUAAUCGGAAUUACUGGGCGUAAAGCGUGCGCAGGCGGUUCUCCAAGUCCGUUGUGAAAGCCCCGGGCUCAACCUGGGAAUGGCAGUGGAAACUAGGGGACUGGAAUCUGGCAGAGGGGGGUGGAAUGCCGCGUGUAGCAGUGAAAUGCGUAGAGAUGCGGCGGAACACCGAUGGCGAAGGCAGCCCCCUGGGCUGAGAUUGACGCUCAGGCACGAAAGCGUGGGGAGCGAACGGG
RNAcentral lists this ribosomal RNA (253 nucleotides) under uncultured bacterium. Its description in RNAcentral is "partial 16S ribosomal RNA". It matches the Rfam family "Bacterial small subunit ribosomal RNA", at positions 524 to 776 of the family's 1533-position model. The record is from RNAcentral.